GGCUGAAAUUCGCCUUCCAUGAAGCUGGAAUUGCUAGUAAUGGCAGGUCAGCAUACUGCCGUGAAUACGUUCCCGGGCCUUGUACACACCGCCCGUCACACCAUGAGAGUUGGAAAUACCCGAAGCCUGUGAGCUAACUUAAAGAGGCAGCAGUCGAAGGUAGAGCCAAUGAUUGGGGUGAAGUCGUAACAAGGUACC
RNAcentral lists this ribosomal RNA (198 nucleotides) under uncultured bacterium. Its description in RNAcentral is "partial 16S ribosomal RNA". It matches the Rfam family "Bacterial small subunit ribosomal RNA", at positions 1303 to 1500 of the family's 1533-position model. The record is from RNAcentral.